CAGAGAACUUCCUUGAACUGAAACAAGCUGCAAGAUGAGCUCAUUUCUUAAAAUAUUAAUAGUAAACUUGGGUGAGACAUUCUUAUUACGCUUCCACUGCUGCAAAUUCAUUAAAUUGCAAUGAUAAUAAAUCUUGAGAGAAUAAGUUUAUAGCAGAAUAUCAGAUGGUUGUUUCUGGGUUUUCUAAGACCCCGAGAUUGGUUUGGCACGCAGCUGAACCAUCAUUUAUCUCUGCUGACAGCCCGGUUUUCAUUCCCAGCCUUUGUGCUGCUGUGCACCAAAUGACAGUGUCCAGUUGGGGGUAUUUUUAGUCUGCUCUGUAGCAGAUGCAGGCUGGCACAUCCCUGCCUCUCCAGUGAUGUGGGUCACAUUCCCAGCAGGAGCCACACCAAGAGAGGAGGAAGGAAACCAUUGCAGAAAUGGGAGUGGUGCAAAGCCCAAGCCUCAGAGCUCUGCUUUAGUGGGUCAGCUGCCAAGAGCUGCGUGACUCCACUUCCCUGGCUGAUGGAGUCGCCUUAUGAGAAUGAGACCAGGACAGCUGGAUCACAGACCUGCAAACCAGGCUUGGGCAAGGGGUUUCACAGCACUGCGCUCUGCCUGCAGAGCUCCCAGGCAGGGGCGGGCACGGCCCCGGAGUGCUCGGAG
Molecule: long non-coding RNA, 645 nt
Filed under: Zonotrichia albicollis (white-throated sparrow)
Lineage: Eukaryota; Metazoa; Chordata; Aves; Passeriformes; Passerellidae
Description: lncRNA (ENSZALG00000016623.1)
Source: RNAcentral